Molecule: long non-coding RNA, 1371 nt
Filed under: Homo sapiens (human)
Lineage: Eukaryota; Metazoa; Chordata; Mammalia; Primates; Hominidae
Description: survival associated mitochondrial melanoma specific oncogenic non-coding RNA, transcript variant 18 (SAMMSON)
Source: RNAcentral
GUCCCUGGCUCGGCUCUACCCCCAUGGAUCUAGGUGGGCUCAAUGUCAUCACAAGGGUGCUUAAGAGGGAAAGAGGAAGCCAUGAGGGUCAGAGUCAAAGGAAGACUUGAAGAUACUACACUGCGGACUUUAAAGAUGAAGGAAGGGGCGAAAACCAAGAAUGUGGGAAGCCUCUAGAAGCUAGAGAAGGCAAGGAAACAAAUUUUCCACUAGAGCCUCCAGAAGGAACACAGCCCUGCUGACCCACUGUAAUGUCUGACCUCUAGAUGUGUAAGGGUAGUAAGACUGAAAGUCUCAGAAAGGCACUGUUAAAUUCUUAUUCCUCAACUAUGCAACUCAAAACUGGGGUCCUCAGCAGUGAGCGAGGGGUGAGAGAAGACACUGUAUAAACAUGGCACAUCCUCCUGGAAAGUCAACUUUACUCAAAGGUUCUUACACACAGUGACAGCUAGCAGAGUCUAAAAUGCUGACAUUAUGACUUAGAGAUGUGAUAAAGAGAAACAUCUAUUGCAUUUUCUUGGCUCGUGUGGAAUGACUUAUCCUGGAAUUUAGAGUUGAAGAUAAUCCUGAUGCUUCAAAGAGAAGAGUUGGAACACAGUCCUUUUUUCUAAACAGAGGAAUUGUUGAAUAUGCGACUGAACCUCUGACUUAACUAAUUAGUUAAUUUGGAGCAGAGUUUGAACACAGUCCUUUUUCUAAACAGAGGAAUUGUUGAAUAUGCAACUGGUCCUCUGACUUAACUAAUUAUUUAAUUUGGAAGUUAUAGGUUUUUUAUUACUUGAGGAGCAGCUUUCUCUGAACAAAUACAGUGUCCCCUGGGGUGUCCAAAUUGUGACAGAAAAGUAGCGCCAGCUUGAAACUAGCUAGUCAUCACAUAGUGGCAUCAUGUGAAUGAAGAAUCCCCCAAAUCUGUGACCCUCUUCUAUCCUUAUGAACUAAUUCAAUAAAUAAAUGAGCACUUUCUCAGUUCCCAAACUGAGAGCAGUUUAAAAAAAUAAUGAGAGCACAGAUAUCUAUUUAGAGAGAUGGCGAGAUAGAGGAGAGAGCAAGUUGCACACCACGAAACAAAGGGAAAGAUAAGAAGAGAGAGUGUGUCACUACUUCCCCGUGGCAGAAUCACAAUCUUUUUUGGAUGUCAUGUUGAAAAGAUUCCCAAUUCGUAGUUCUGUGAGCUAAAGCAGAUGGAUGCUCCAUGUUGGUACAAAUUCCUAUUUGAAGCAGUGUGGUUGCAAAGAUGGGGUUUGGGUCAUUUGAUUUUCUCCGAAAAACAAUCUUGUGUAACUGUUAAAAGAAUUUAUAAUACCCAAUGCAAUGUAUCAUCCGUGAUGCUUCUUCAAAAAUGUUAAAUAAAUGCUGAAACCAGUGUUUCAA